UGUAGUCUCAACGAUGAUGCAUACAUGUCAACUAUGGGUGUUUGCACCAACAAUUCGCAUUCUCAAACCAAUGACAUGCAUUUUGAAGACCAUGAGUUCGAGGUGGAUGAGGAGGGUGAGGGCAUUGUCGACGCGCUGAAAGGAAGAGCGGGCAAUUACACCAACGCCGAUGACAUCUUACUAUGCAAUACUUGGUUGCAAGUGUCGAGGGAUCCAUCCGUUGGAGGUGAACAAAGUAGAGAUGCUUAUUGGGGGUGGAUGAAAGAACACUAUGAUGUUAACAACGUGAGUGGAAUUGACCGCUCUGAGAGAUCACUUCGGUCCCGGUGGUCGACAAUCAACUCAAAUUGUCAAAAGUGGGCGGCUUGUCAAAAGGCGGUUAACAAAUUGAACCCAAGUGGCACAAAUGAGGACGAUAGAGUAAGUGGCAUUUCCAUACAUGUUCAUCAUACUUGUUGUUGGUGUUCGAAGUGCUAA
Molecule: ribosomal RNA, 477 nt
Filed under: Triticum aestivum (bread wheat)
Lineage: Eukaryota; Viridiplantae; Streptophyta; Magnoliopsida; Poales; Poaceae
Description: partial small subunit ribosomal RNA
Source: RNAcentral